GGCUCAUGGUUAGCUCAGUUGGUUACAGAAUGGUGCUGAUAAUGCCAAGGUUGCAGGUUCGAUCCCCAUACGGGACA
This is a non-coding RNA of Podarcis lilfordi (Lilford's wall lizard), 77 nucleotides long. Lineage: Eukaryota; Metazoa; Chordata; Lepidosauria; Squamata; Lacertidae. The record is from the annotation of a GenBank genome assembly.